ACUUUCUUCCUCCCGGCCGGUGAGCCCCCCCGAGCGCCACGUCGACGUGACAAUGACAACCACCCGCGCCCGCACCCCUACUUAAGCUGCGCCGCACCUCCUCCCUUCCCUAGCGCCAGGCAAACCCUAGCUAGGGUUUCCUCUCCCCCAUCUCUUGCGCCACCGCCGCCGCUCCGUUCGGGCCGUGGACGCCGCCGUGCGGCGCCGUCGUCUCCGACCUCGUCGAGCCGAGCCGAGCCGAGCGCGUCACGAGCUUCGCUUCUUCUUCCUCUUCGUCCGCGUGCAAGGUAUUUGACGAAGGGCGCCUGCAGCGACGCCUAGGACAACUUCUCCUCUUCGGCCGCCGGCGAGUUCUUCCCAAAUUCCGGCGCCGACGAGCAUCUCCGGGGACCAUCUUCUGCACGAGUUUCCGGAGGAACAGGUGAGUGGUUACUUUGUGGAGUUUGACGACGACAACUUCGACGUUUAGCCAGAAGAUUCCAGAGCAGGGUUCUGUGAACUUGUGGCGGCUCUCCAUUUUCAGUUUCAGCCUCUUAGGCAAUAAUUGUAAGUUGUCCGUACUCGGGCAUAAUUUGCUUCCGCUGGUGUAAUGAUGAUUGUGGACAUGUGUCCGUGAGUUGUAAUAACUUGGUAUUUUGCUCUAUGUAUGAGCUUGACUUAAUUCUUGAGUCUUAGAGCGA
This is a long non-coding RNA of Brachypodium distachyon (stiff brome), 680 nucleotides long. RefSeq lists it as uncharacterized. The record is from RefSeq and is a predicted model, not a curated record. Lineage: Eukaryota; Viridiplantae; Streptophyta; Magnoliopsida; Poales; Poaceae. The transcript has 2 exons.